This 253-nucleotide ribosomal RNA is filed under the name uncultured bacterium. RNAcentral describes it as "partial 16S ribosomal RNA". It matches the Rfam family "Bacterial small subunit ribosomal RNA", at positions 524 to 776 of the family's 1533-position model. The record is from RNAcentral.
UACGGAGGAUCCAAGCGUUAUCCGGAUUUAUUGGGUUUAAAGGGUGCGUAGGCGGCCUGUUAAGUCAGGGGUGAAAGACGGUAGCUUAACUAUCGCAGUGCCCUUGAUACUGAUGGGCUUGAAUAUACUUGAGUUAGGCGGAAUGUGACAAGUAGCGGUGAAAUGCAUAGAUAUGUCACAGAACACCAAUUGCGAAGGCAGCUUACUAAGGUAUGAUUGACGCUUAGGCACGAAAGCGUGGGGAGCAAACAGG